This 421-nucleotide ribosomal RNA is filed under the name uncultured Sediminibacterium sp. RNAcentral's name for it is "bacterial SSU rRNA". It matches the Rfam family "Bacterial small subunit ribosomal RNA", at positions 356 to 774 of the family's 1533-position model. Lineage: Bacteria; Pseudomonadati; Bacteroidota; Chitinophagia; Chitinophagales; Chitinophagaceae. The record is from RNAcentral.
AAGGAAUAUUGGUCAAUGGACGCAAGUCUGAACCAGCCAUGCCGCGUGAAGGAUUAAGGUCCUCUGGAUUGUAAACUUCUUUUAUCUGGGACGAAAAAAGGCGAUUCUUCGUCACUUGACGGUACCAGAUGAAUAAGCACCGGCUAACUCCGUGCCAGCAGCCGCGGUAAUACGGAGGGUGCAAGCGUUAUCCGGAUUCACUGGGUUUAAAGGGUGCGUAGGCGGGCAGGUAAGUCAGUGGUGAAAUCCUGGAGCUUAACUCCAGAACUGCCAUUGAUACUAUCUGUCUUGAAUAUUGUGGAGGUAAGCGGAAUAUGUCAUGUAGCGGUGAAAUGCUUAGAUAUGACGAGGAACUCCGAUUGCGUAGGCAGCUUACUAAGCCAUAACUGACGCUCAAGCACGAAAGCGUGGGGAUCAAACA